Molecule: long non-coding RNA, 394 nt
Filed under: Lepisosteus oculatus (spotted gar)
Lineage: Eukaryota; Metazoa; Chordata; Actinopteri; Semionotiformes; Lepisosteidae
Description: lncRNA (ENSLOCG00000022516.1)
Source: RNAcentral
CUUGUCAGCUGCUGAUGAGUCAGGAUGAGUCUAGAUGGCUUGAAAGAGCUCAGCGCAGCGAACACUAGCCAGUUUUCUAAGGUCACAAGCAAACUGGAGGACAAAAGAGCCGCAGAUUCCUGCACUAACUGGACUCAAGCAGAAGCAACAGAGAAAGAAAGAGAGCAGUUACUUCUUUUCCCUGGAUGAGCAACUGCUGAUGUGCAUUAAUUAAUCGGGAGAGAGAUCCAUCCUUCACCCUUUCCUAAGAUAAACAGACACAUGGCACCUUCCACCGGUGAUUCAAGUGAUUCAAGCAAAAUAUUUUCCUGUCCAGUCAUGAAAGAGCAUCUGCUGGCUCCCAGGCCAUCGCAUCCUGCCCUGCAGAAGGGAUCACCCAAUGAACUAGUAGCCA